CUUGAACUCCUGACCUCAGGUGAUCUGCCCACUUCGGCCUCCCAAAGUGCUGGGAUUACAGGCGUGAGCCAUCACACCUGGCCUAUUUUUUCAUUUGAUUCUCGCAGUAGCCCUGUGAGAUCAGCUAGGCAGAGGUUAUUAUGCUCAAUUUUAUAUGCAACAAAACUAAGAAUAUUGGCUCUGAUUGUGCCAUGUACUAUAUAACACUAAGGAAUAUUGCCUGAGAUGUCCAAAAAUGACACCAUUGGAUGUUAAUUUAUCUUUGGAAAGAAUAUAUUUGGCAGUAUCUAGUAAAUCUGAGCAUACACAUACCUUAUGAUCCAUAAGUUCCAUUCUUAAGUUUAUUUCAAACAGGAGUGAAUAUAUUUGUUCACCAAAGACAUGUAAUAGAAUGUUCAUAACAGCACUGUUUGUAGUAGUUCCAAACUGGAAAUUACUCAUAUGUCCAUCAACGGUAGAAUGGAUAAAUAAAUUGUGGUGUGAUCACGCAAUCAACUUCUGUAUAGCACCAAUAAACUAUUGCUAAACAAUGAUGAAACUCCUAAACAUAAUAUUAAAUGAAAAAGAAGCCAGACACAAAUGAAUACAUAUUGUGAUUGCAUUUAUAUAAAGUUUUAUAUAAACAGGCAAAACUAAUCCUUGGUGAUAGAAGUCAGGAUGGUAGUUACCCUUGGGUUGGGGGAGUGGCGUUACUGGAAAGGAGCAUAAGGAAGGGUUCUGGGGUUCUGGUAAUGAUCUGUUUAUUGACCUGCGUGCUAGUGAUAUGGAUGUGAUUACGUCAUGAAAAUUCAUCAAGCUUACGAUUUGUGUACUUUCCCAUAAUGUAUAGUAUACUUCAGUAAAAAGUUAAUUUGCCUUAGGCAAAACGGAAACCCAUUAUCUUAGGCAAGGUUUUUCAGUGGCUUCCCAUGGUACUCAGAAUAAAAUCCAAAGUCCUUACCAUGGCCUGCAUGGCAAUAUAUACAUGAUCUAGCCCCUGGCUACCUCCUCCACAUGUAGCCGGUGCCCCUAUAAAUGUUAGGGUUGAAUGAAUGAUUGAAGAUCCCUGGGUGAAUGGUCCACUAGGCUAUAGCUGGGAUUCCUCCCACAAAGGGAGACACCUGAGAAGUUGUAAGUCAUCCUGUUAAAAGGAAAGCUUUGUUAGUAUAACCUCUCUUGUCCACCCCACCUCAGUUUGGUGAGGAGAAAGCUCAGAGCUUUCCCCAGUGCUUCCAUGAACUUUGGCCAGUAAAGACUUAAAAUAUCAUAUCAUAAGAUGAGAGAAACCAGUUGGAACUUAACUUCUAUCCCGUAUCCUUCGAUUAUUCAAAGAAAAACAAAAUACGGUCAACAGGCAGUGGAACUCCUCACUCCAAUGUGAUAUUCCUGAGAGAAUAUUGACUUAUUGUCACUUCGUCUCUGGGACAAGUAUUGAACAUAGGGGGAGCCUUACAUAAAAUUGUUCAAUAAACAAAAGAUGUCUUUAACAUGUGUUUGAGAUCUUUCUUCUCAUGAUUCCAUGUUAGGUACAACAACUAUGACCGGGCUGUCAUCAAUACCGUUCCUUAUGAUGUCGUCCAUCGCUGGUAUACAGCACACCGGACUCUAACGAUAGAGUUGAGGAGACCUGAGAAUGAGUUUUGGGUUAAACUAAAGCCUGGCAGGGUCCUAUUUAUAGACAACUGGCGUGUCCUACAUGGCAGGGAAUGCUUCACUGGCUACCGCCAACUCUGUGGCUGCUAUUUAACAAGGGAUGACGUAUUAAACACUGCUCGCCUCUUGGGGCUUGAGGCUUAAAAUUGACAGCAUCGGGAUUAUGAAUACACCUGGCACCCCGGCUACCAGAAUUUCAUAUGGGCAGAAUAAUAUUUAAUAUUGUGUCAAACUCUACUUCAGAUUGUCUCCUUAUCCCAUCCCACAAAACAGAAGCUGUCCCUUUCUCUAGUAGGGGAGACUUGUUAGAGAGGGGGGACUCUGAGCUAUCUAAUGUCAGACUUCUAGUGGGGCAGCUCUCUUCCUCAUGUUAUAACAUGGAUCCACUUGUUUUAUUUAAACCUUUUAAUAUAAUUUUGGUCAAUCUCCUUCAGAAAUAUAAUCUCCAUAUUGAUAGGAAAGCAAUAAUUGCCAUGAGGUAGUGAUUUUUUUUUUCCCAAGUAGAUCGGUUAGAAAGAACUGCAUUCUAGAAAUAACAAAGAUCCUGAUAAAGCAACAAUUUGCAAAAUUUUUGGUGUUAGGACACCUUAACACUCUUAAAAGUUAUUGAAGGCCCCAAGGAGUUCUUGGGUGUGGGUUCUAACUAUUGAUACUAAUUGUUUUAGGUAUUAAGACUGGGAAAUAUUUAAAACUCAAGAACGCAGAAGCACACAUCCCUCAGCUAUCAGAGAGAUGACAUAACCAUAUGUCAUGUAGCCUCUGGAAAAGUCCUCUGUCUCCUCACGAGAUAAUGAGAGGGGGAGAAAAAGCUACUAUUGCCUUUGUAACUUCCACUUAGCCUACUACAGGGCUAUGCACAUCUGGCUUUCCAAAAGUCUGCUUAAUUUCAAAAGAAAAAUGCUUAAUUGAAUGUAACUCAUCUUGGUGUUAUUAUGCAAAAUAAUUUUUAAUCUGCAGACCCACUAAAAAGGCCUCAGGGACUCCUCCAGGGGUCUUCAGACCAUAUUUUGAGAACCCAUGGGCUAGCGACUACCUUGAGACAGUCCUUUACAUAGGCCUGAGGAUUAAAGGGUUUAGCUGAAACCCUAGAUUUUUCUCUAUAGCCUAAUAGAACUCCAAACAUUAUAAGAAUUGCUUGGUAGCAUAAGCUCAGGGAUAAGGUGGGAAUUGAGUUCAAAUAUAGUGUUUUAUCUUCGAUACAAAUCAUCUCUAUAGGAGUUAAAUUAGGAAGUCACAACAGCUCCUGUUGAACAAACUUAUCAGUGUGGUAAUCCUAUGAGGGAUAAUUGCAGAAAGGUUUUAGAGACUUGUGAGGUUCCAUAUGAUAAUUCUUUACACACACACACACACACACACACCACCACCACCACCACCACCACCAAGAGAAGUACACAGGGCUAUCCUGUAAUAUUAUUCAGGGAAAUCAGCAUGAUAGAUGCUGUGCCUCCAGAGAGUUCUCUGGAGAUUACUACCCAAAUGUGUAUUUUGGCAAUUUGGUGGUAUUUAGGAUGUAAUAUGUUUUCCUCCAUUUCUGCUAUUUUUUUUCUUUCUCUCUCUGUCUCUCUCAUAAAAUACUAUACAUGUUAAUUACCAAGAUUUGAAUGAGUCAAAUUUAGUAGCUUGCUGCUUUUAUUUUUUAAAUAGCUUCUUUUAUGUAUGGGGGGAGGGCAGGUUAUGAAGCUUCUUUUCCCUCAGCUUUCAUUGAAAGUGAAGCUGUACAAUAACCACAUUGACCACUGUAGAAUGAUGAAAGAGAAUAUAGGCUAGGAUGCACACAAGAGGGGGGAAAAGGCAUUAUUAGUGAAGACAGGAGUUACAAAGCAAAGCAAAGUCAGUAUUCAGAUAGAGAAUAGAGCCUAAUCUGAUGUUUGCAGGGAGUUCCUAGAUCACAUUUGGCAAUUUACACAUUAUUUUAUUGACACAUCCAGUGCUCCAAAAUGUGUUCCCAAAAUAUUUCGGCAUUUUAUUUGUACUAUAUAGGAAUCUUUAGGGGAGUCCAUGAAAUUUGUUUUCCUCAUAGGUCAAAGGACUGAUAAUUAACUUUGGUUCUUAAGGAGUAUGCCCUUUAGCAAGAAGAACAGCAAUAACAUUUUACCCUGAAGUUUUUUCUCUAUACCUACUAUUAUGCACUCCUAAAAUAUGUCAUCAUUAGUCUUCAUGAGGAUGUUUACCAUUUUUGAAGUUUUGCAUAAAUUAGCCUUGAAGAUUACACUAUAACUGAGGUCAGCAUUGGUUUACGGCCAGCAAAGGACAUGAUCAUGGCCCUGGAGAGAUGAGGACACAAAACAAAUCAAUUUCCCCACUUACUGAAGGACUCCCCUUACCUUCUGUCUCUCCUGACACCUUGACUCGUUAAUUAUUUUACCCUCCUUUUUGGAAAUUUGCAACCAAUCCUUCUCAACAAUGUACUCCCUUUGGUACAUUGAAGAAAAAGAGAAGGGAAUUAUUUGAGUCCUGAUCCCGAUGCAUUGAAAACUUCCUAUGUGAGAUGUUUCUUUUUUUCACAUCUCUUCCAGGUGUCCCUGAGUAUAUAAGCAUGGGUCUAUGUCUACCAAGCUCACUGUAGAGUCACUUUUACCUUUUGCUAUGGUGGAAUGGGAUCUGUAGGGUCAGGAACACAGCACCUAACACAGUGCCUUAUGGACAGUAGUUUUAUAAUACAGAUGUGUUGAAAGAAUAAAUGAAUGACACAUGCA
Long non-coding RNA from Chlorocebus sabaeus (green monkey), 4328 nucleotides. RefSeq lists it as uncharacterized. The record is from RefSeq and is a predicted model, not a curated record. NCBI's taxonomy places the organism in Eukaryota, Metazoa, Chordata, Mammalia, Primates, Cercopithecidae.